This 460-nucleotide ribosomal RNA is filed under the name uncultured bacterium. RNAcentral describes it as "partial 16S ribosomal RNA". It matches the Rfam family "Bacterial small subunit ribosomal RNA", at positions 338 to 795 of the family's 1533-position model. The record is from RNAcentral.
CCUACGGGUGGCAGCAGUGAGGAAUAUUGGUCAAUGGGCGCGAGCCUGAACCAGCCAAGUCGCGUGAAGGAUGACUGCCCUACGGGUUGUAAACUUCUUUUAUCAAGGAAUAAAGUGAGGCACGUGUGCCUUUUUGUAUGUACUUUAUGAACAAGGAUCGGCUAACUCCGUGCCAGCAGCCGCGGUAAUACGGAGGAUCCGAGCGUUAUCCGGAUUUAUUGGGUUUAAAGGGAGCGUAGAUGGGUUGUUAAGUCAGUUGUGAAAGUUUGCGGCUCAACCGUAAAAUUGCAAUUGAUACUGGCAGACUUGAGUACAGUUGAGGUAGGCGGAAUUCGUGGUGUAGCGGUGAAAUGCGUAGAUAUCACGAAGAACACCGAUUGCGAAGGCAGCUUACUAAACUGCCACUGACACUGAUGCACGAAAGUGUGGGUAUCAAACAGGAUUAGAUACCCGAGUAGUC